Molecule: long non-coding RNA, 3258 nt
Organism: Chroicocephalus ridibundus (black-headed gull)
Lineage: Eukaryota; Metazoa; Chordata; Aves; Charadriiformes; Laridae
Exons: 3
Source: RefSeq, a predicted model, not a curated record
CGCAGACAAAGGCACCACCGUUACUUUCUUUUACAGACCUGCGCGUAUGUUAUUUGAGAUUGUCUUUGAGAGUGUUAUCUGAGUUAUUUGAAUUUUUUUAGGAAUUUUUUUAGAGGCGGUAGGGAUGUAGGUAUAAAAAUAUAUGGGUUUGUUUUGGUUUUUUUUUUUAGUUCCCAUCAGGUUUUGGCACUUUAAGUGCUCACCCACAGCCAAACGCACAAGGCGUUUUCAUUUACAGAAGGAAACGACUAGCAGCGAGGGUGGGUUUGUUUUGUUUAUGUUAAUUUUUGCAGGAUUUCGUGGCCCAACCAGUGCUAUUAGAAAAUAUCCAUUGGACCCAAAUAACCCUCAGGCACUUUUAUCGAAGACCUUCAGGAAUCCCACCCGGAGCUCGCCUGGCUGCCAGCCUUCGGGGCACCAUCCAUCAGCCAAAAGGGGACAGAAAUGAGUACGUUGAAUCUACUAACAAUUCUUUUAUUUGCCUAAAAAGUAAGGUUUUUAUUUUUGAACCAACAGCGUGCCUUUGAAGCUCGUCUCUCUGCAAUUUGCAGUGCCAUGCUUUGCCGGCCGCAGGACCACAACCCAUCCCAUCUCCCACUGGCCAGCAAGUCCAUUUUUUGAGGUUUGGUUUUUUCUUUUUUUUUCCCCCACAAAUAUCUGGAAAAGCCGGAGCAGCCCUGAGCAAGAGGCACUGCAGGGAGAGGACAGCCCCUGUCCGUGCUGCUCCAACCACCCACCCUCUGGAAGGACAGGUUUUACCAUGGGUUUCAAAUCCUACCUGCUUUAAAAUUGCCUAUGAAAAAAAAAAAGGCAUAUAUAUGAUUUUUUUUCCCCAACCCAAUUACUCACGGCUAAGCCUCGAGAAGCAGAGCUAACCAAAACCCGACUAUUCAAUUAAAAACCCACCUGGGGGAAGAAAUGUUUUAUAAGCCACUUCCCAGCCACUCGCCGCAGCCUCUCUGCAUCUCGUCAGCCGGGUUUUUGGGCAGGCGGCGGGUGCCUCUCUGCGCCCCUGGGUGCAGGGCAGCCGCAGGGAGGCCCUGCAGAGCCCGUUGAUUUAAUUAACGGGGCGCCUGGAGCUACUAAAAGCAGCUUCUGCUCAGCAUCCCGCUGUGCAAAAUUACCAUUUCCCGAUCCUCAGCAUCCUGGGCGGACCUCAGGGGCUAAAGCAUCAUCAGGAACCAGGGGGAAGGAGUUAACAGAGACGCGAACAAAAGCUGUUUUUCAACCCCAAGGGCCAUACGGCAGCUGGCUUUGCCCUUCCCCGGCUCAGAGGGCGCUUUCGUGCUUACACGUGAAGAGCCGCCAAAGCGAAAUGGUGCCAGCAAAUGAAAGGAGAAAUUGUAACUACGCUUUGCACUGCAGCAGCACCCAUGUUUCAGUGCUCGGCUGGCUCCGUGCACGCCAGCCGGGGAGACCAUGAACCCCACGAGCAGCGUUGGGUGCCCAGGAGGUGGCCGUGGGGCUACGAUCAUCUGUCCAGGCCUGGAAGGAGGUCCUGCCAUCCUGAUGGAGGGUCUGGAGCUGUGCCUUAAGACACCCUAAGUCUCUCAUCCCCGUUAUUUUCACGUCCCCCAUCUUCGUUAAAGCCACCCUGCUCUGGAUGGGGCUCUAUGGAUGGAUCGCGGGCACUGCCACCUGCCGGCCCCGCACCCCCCCCAGAGCCCAAUGGGGAGCGAGCAGGAGGGGCCUGGAGGGAAAAAAAAACAUUUUCAGCAACAGCUGGAAGUGUGGAAGCAACAAUGAGAGCGGCUGAGCUCUUGGCCAAGGGAAAGCACGUCCGGCUGCUCCUCAAGAGAUGAUUUUCUGCCCUUUGCUUACACAAAGCACAACUUGACCAUGAGAGUUUUCUGACCAGCCAACUAACAGCAAAGCUGAACUCUCAACUGUAGGCAACUUUAAUUUCUUCCAGAAAUUGGAAGACCCUUGGCCAUCCACAGACACGAGCUGCCAAUCACUGGCCAAGUUCUUUAAUUUCUUCCGCUCUGUCUCACAGAGCCUUGGCCAUCCAUAGACACGAGCUGCCGACCACCGGCCGAGUCCAACCCUGCCAACCGCACGGGUCCUGAGCUGCCGUGUCUCGCGGUGCUCAGAGAACGGUCCUGCGAGACUCCAUCCAUCAUCUGUCCUCACAGGCCAAGCACCAAGACACGUGGCGUGGAGGCCCUCCUCAUCGCAGGUGCACUGUAGAGGGCUACCAAAGGGAUCCAUUUGCUGGGACAUGAAUAAACCAGACUGGUUGGGACCAGGCUGCUGCUUCCGAAACCCUGUCAGGAGGGCUCAGAAUCCCAACAGGGAGCAGCAGUGUUGAAGCCCAGGGCUGAGUGUGCUCGUCCCUGCCACAGCCACGGGGGAGGCGGGGGGGGACCUAAGAGACCUGAAUGUCACCGACCCCGAAUCAGACCCAAGGAUGCUGCAGCAGGAGGAGGCCGAGCAUCGCGGGGACCACGUGGGGACGAACACCCGCGGGCAGGACGAGGAUGGGGCUGGGCCGCCGGUGGGAGCCAGCGAGGACUGAGUCAUGGUGUGACGGGAUCUGAACGCUUUACACCACUGCAAAGCCUAAGCAAUACUUCUGGGGGUUGUUUUUUUUUUAACACCACUGCAACUGAGACUGGAAAGUCAUUCCUCGCCUCGGUGCGGCCGGUGUUACGCUAUGGACACUGGUUGGGGUUCACAGGAUCACCAGCUCUCCCUUUUGCCACGAGUAUCAGGAUUUUUCUCCUGUCCUCCCCAAAUCCCUUCCUUCAGAAGGGGGGAAAAAAAUAAAAUAAUACCACAAGGCUUUCCUUUUGCUUCGUAAAUUAAAAGAAAAAAAAAUGAUUUCUUCCUCUGCAAGGCUGCAGGGUGAGCCUGGAGACGUGGUAAAGGGGUAGCCAGAAGGGACCUGACGACCCGAGAUAACGAAGUAGAUGAUAACGAGAUUAUAAGAUAAUGCAUCAAUCUGUUGGCUGUAAGAUAAUAGAUAAAUAACCUGAAGACACACCGUGAGCGUAUUCACAGCCGUGAGCGCAGCCCGGCAGCGGGGGAGCAGCGGGGCAGGGUACCAGGGGCUGCGGGAGCCGGCAGCAUCAGCACGUUCUGUGACUGCUGGACCCGGCUGCAUCUCCCAGCCCAGCGGGCAAAACACGCCGCCGCUGAGCUCCUUCCCCGCAGGAUGCCCGCAGCAAUGGCAAAGCCUUCCCCGGGAGAUUUGGAAAGGGUGCCACAGGGUGGAUAUAUUUGGGAUGAAGGUGCCUGGCUCAGCUGGAGUGACAC